GAUGAACGCUGGCGGCGUGCCUAAUACAUGCAAGUCGAGCGAACAGAUAAGGAGCUUGCUCCUUUGACGUUAGCGGCGGACGGGUGAGUAACACGUGGGUAACCUACCUAUAAGACUGGAAUAACUCCGGGAAACCGGGGCUAAUGCCGGAUAACAUUUAGAACCGCAUGGUUCUAAAGUGAAAGAUGGUUUUGCUAUCACUUAUAGAUGGACCCGGGCCGUAUUGGCUAGUUGGUACGGUAACGGCUUACCAAGGCAACGAUACGUAUCCGACCUGAGAGGGUGAUCGGCCACACUGGAACGGGGACACGGACAAGACUCCUACGGGAGGCAGCAGUAGGGAAUCUUCCGCAAUGGGCGAAAGCCUGACGGAGCAACGCCGCGUGAGUGAUGAAGGUCUUCGGAUCGUAAAACUCUGUUAUUAGGGAAGAACAAAUGUGUAAGUAACUGUGCACGUCUUGACGGUACCUAAUCAGAAAGCCACGGCUAACUACGUG
Molecule: ribosomal RNA, 497 nt
Filed under: uncultured bacterium
Lineage: Bacteria
Description: partial 16S ribosomal RNA
Rfam family: Bacterial small subunit ribosomal RNA
Source: RNAcentral